CCAAUGGCCUAUAGUUCCAUCCCAAUUUCAACAACUUCUUCGAGUUCACCUGGAAACAAGUUCUGCAUUCUUGCAACAAAUUCCUCUGUCCUAAUUGAGUAAGCACAACAUAUAUAUCUCCUGUUGGAUUCCGGAUUUUCAUAUAAAAGUAAUAUAGCCUCUGAUAAAUCGCGUACAUCUGUGUAUGGACGUCUAAGGUUCUCCAUCGUGUCCCCUCCCG
Molecule: long non-coding RNA, 220 nt
Filed under: Helianthus annuus (common sunflower)
Lineage: Eukaryota; Viridiplantae; Streptophyta; Magnoliopsida; Asterales; Asteraceae
Description: sRNA HanXRQr2_Chr14g0621611
Source: RNAcentral